AUGCCGGUCAGGGCUCCUCCAGCCUACCUUCACUGGUUCACCAUCUUGGAUCAGUUCAGGACUAGCUUCGACCAGUUCAUCCUCGACAGAUCCUGCAACAUUUCCCGUUUGUGGACUGGUGCCUGCCGGUCUGAAAAGGCAAGUCACACUGGUUGCUGGAGGCUUGGAGCGGGGCGUGUUGGAGGACAGGGAGGAGCUGAGGCAGGGGCUGGUGCACGGGUGAGCUUUGCUUGUUGUCGGUUUAGAGCCUGGUCCACUUUAAACCGAGGCAGGGGCUGGGGCUGGUCCACUUUGGACCGAGGGUUUUGUGGCAGGCCGCGGGUAGGAGAGGAGGUGACGGAGGGGGAUGUGUCCCUGUCGGCCUGGUCACAACUCUUCCUCCAUGGCAACCACGACGUCCCACCGUUCUGCUUGCCCUACUUUGAUGCUCUCGAUCAGAAUAUCCCCAUAGGAUUAGCCUCGGCUCGGUCUGGUGGCUCGUCUUGUGCUUCUUGCCUCCCCACCGACGACAUAUUUAUGGAAGGGUUCGAUUCCAAGCGAGGGUCCAUAUUGGAGGUAGGUGCUCACUUUGAUUCUCAUUUAGCAACAACAAUAGGAAAAUUCAUCAUUGAGGCUAGACUUGGGCAGGAUGUUCUCAACUUGAUAUCUUUCAAGAAGAUGCCUCAAGUGGCUUCCAACAGAGAUCAAGUUGCUAUUCCUACUUGGAAGAGCCAAUCUGGUAAAAGAAGCUUCAUAAGUGCUUCGGUGCAUUCCAGCAAAGGUAUGUAUUUCCUGAGAUCAAUUGAUGUCUCUGGAAUCACCGAGGACAUGGAUGAGCUAGUUGUAGUGUUUUCUCGUGUGGUUGAUGAUGUUGGCGCCCACAACAUAGUUCAAGUUGUCACAAAUGAUGCGCCACCACAUAUGCGAAUUUUAUGGCAUUAUGUGCAAAAGAAACAUGACCAUUCAUUCUUUGUUCCACUUUGCGCUGACUUCUGCAUUAACCUUCCGCUUGAGAAAAUAGCAGCACUGGAACAUGUCAGUGAGGUCAUAACGAAGGCAAAGGAAAUAACAAGGUUUAUAUAUGGCCAUACACUGCCAAUGGAACUAAAAGGAAGUUACAUCCAGGAGGAGAUUUUGAGCAGUUCUUAUCUAAAAGUUGUUGAUGCGUUUAUCACAUUAGACUAG
Molecule: ribosomal RNA, 1164 nt
Filed under: Triticum aestivum (bread wheat)
Lineage: Eukaryota; Viridiplantae; Streptophyta; Magnoliopsida; Poales; Poaceae
Description: partial small subunit ribosomal RNA
Source: RNAcentral